Molecule: unclassified non-coding RNA, 166 nt
Filed under: soil metagenome
Description: partial contains small subunit ribosomal RNA, internal transcribed spacer 1, and 5.8S ribosomal RNA
Source: RNAcentral
UUUCCGUAGGUGAACCUGCGGAAGGAUCAUUACCAAUAUAGCGAACCGAGCGUUAGCGAGGCUUCGCGAUCAAAUUUGUAUUUAAAACCCAACUCUUUAAAUGUAUAUUAUUAUUGUAUUUUAAAUAAUAAAAAGAUCACUUUCAACAACGGAUCUCUUGGCUCUC